RNAcentral lists this ribosomal RNA (378 nucleotides) under uncultured bacterium. RNAcentral describes it as "bacterial SSU rRNA". It matches the Rfam family "Bacterial small subunit ribosomal RNA", at positions 354 to 726 of the family's 1533-position model. The record is from RNAcentral.
UGAGGGAAUAUUUGGGGUCAAUGGACGAAAGUCUGAACCAGCCAUGCCGCGUGAAGGAAUAAGGCCCUAUGGGUCGUAAACUUCUUUUGUAUGUGAGCAAUAAGGUCCACGUGUGGACCGAUGAGAGUAGCAUACGAAUAAGCAUCGGCUAACUCCGUGCCAGCAGCCGCGGUAAUACGGAGGAUGCAAGCGUUAUCCGGAUUCAUUGGGUUUAAAGGGUGCGUAGGCGGCUUGGUAAGUCAGCGGUGAAAUUCCAGUGCUCAACAUUGGCCGUGCCGUUGAUACUGCUGGGCUUGAAUGCGGAUGCCGUGGGAGGAAUGUGUGGUGUAGCGGUGAAAUGCAUAGAUAUCACACAGAACACCGAUUGCGAAGGCAUCU